CAAUAGCGUAUAUUAAAGUUGUUGCAGUUAAAAAGCUCGUAGUUGGAUUUCUGGUUGAAGCGACCGGUCGGGCGUUGAUUCGUCUGCACUGGAGUCGGUUUUGGCCAUCCUCUAGGAAAGUGCGUCUGGUAUUAAGUUAUCGGGCGUAUGAUCCUGGUCUUUUACUGUGAAAAAGUUAGAGUGUUUAAAGCAGGCCUUCGCCUUGAAUACAUUAGCAUGGAAUAAUAAGAUAGGACUUUGGUCUAUUUUGUUGGUUUGCAGACCGAAGUAAUGAUUAAUAGGGAUAGUUGGGGGUAUUUAUAUUCCGAUGUCAGAGGUGAAAUUCUUAGAUUUUCGGAAGAUAAACUUAUGCGAAAGCAUUUACCAAGGAUGUUUNCAUUA
RNAcentral lists this ribosomal RNA (381 nucleotides) under uncultured eukaryote. RNAcentral's name for it is "partial 18S ribosomal RNA". It matches the Rfam family "Eukaryotic small subunit ribosomal RNA", at positions 592 to 975 of the family's 1831-position model. The record is from RNAcentral.